RNA transcript from Spinacia oleracea (spinach), 3771 nucleotides. It is a transcript of the gene named F-box protein SKIP23, with no coding region annotated. NCBI's taxonomy places the organism in Eukaryota, Viridiplantae, Streptophyta, Magnoliopsida, Caryophyllales, Amaranthaceae. The transcript has 4 exons. The record is from RefSeq and is a predicted model, not a curated record.
UACUUUUUGUAGUCAAUAUUCAAUAUUCAGUAUAAGACGGCAUGAGCCCAACCAUUGCUUGGCAGUCGCAUUCUCUCCGACGACUCUUUCAGUUGGGCAAUUUAGGGUUUGAACUAUGAAGCAGAAAAUGGCGGCGAUCACCGGCGGAGGAAGCAACGGCGGCGAGUUAUUGUCAAGGUGGCCUAAUCUUCCAGGCGACGUUCUAGCAUCCAUCACCGAUCUUCUCGACCCAAAAAUCGGCAUCCUUCGACUUCGCUCCAUUUGCAGGUCAUGGCGUUCCUCACUUUCUCUCCUCCCCCCCGCCAUUAACUUCCCUCUCAAACUCCCCCUCUUAGCCUCCAAUGGCGCCUCAAGCUCUCCGUCGUCUCAUCCUCCCUCCGGCAAUCUCUUCCUUCAUGAACGAACCGUGUAUUUUCUCUCUCCUCCUGGAUACCCUUCCUCCAAUGGCGGCUUCCUCAUCAAGGUUAAGGAGAGUAAAAAUGCUCCAAACACCUUCUCUCUCCUUAACCCUAUUUUGUUUGAAGACAAACUCCCCCAACCGAAUUUCCCUCUUAAUCUUCUUGAUUGCAGCAUUUCCCUUGUUUGUAAAUCGUAUGUAGUUUCCACUGAUUUCGAAUGCGAACAGGUGGUGCUUAAGAAGGUGGCCGUUUCAACAAAUUUCGUAAACAAUGGCGAAUUUGUUGUUCUCGGUUUGAAAUUCAGCGGGGGUUUGUUAAUUUGGAGGUUUGGGGAUGAAGGAUGGACUGAAAUUGGGGUUAAUGGCCGUUGUUUUGAUGAUAUAAUUAGUUAUAAUGAUAAAUUCUAUGCUACUGCUGAUAUGAAAGGGAGGCUUGUGAUGAUUGAUUCGAGGUUGAAACCUAUUGAUUUGGUGCCAAAAUUGAUGUUUGGUAGUGGUAUAUCAACACAUUUGGUGGAGUGUGAUGGGAAUUUGUAUGUAGUUGACCAGGACAUUGAUAAUCGAGGGUCUAAGCUUGGAGUGUUUAAAUUGGAUGAUAAGGGUCAUUUUUGGGAUUAUGAGUUGGAUUUGAAUGAUAGUGUGUUCUUUGUGGGUGAUUAUGCAAAUUUUUCAUUGUCUAGAAAAUAUUAUAAUGGUGGCUUGAGAAAUAUGAUUUACUUUAAGGAUGUCUCUCUUGAUGAUGAUGGUGGUGAGAUUGAUGGACACAUCAAAGUUUUUGACUUGAAAACAAACACAAGUAGUUUGCUAUUCGAAUCUGAGAAAUAUGCCAAGCUUUGCUGGCCACCUUUGAGUUGGUUCAGUCAGGAUGCAGCUAUCUACUUCAAUUGAUUUGGGAAUUUGCUGCAGGUACUUACCUCCUUCUUUAGUCAACUUGAGAUCAACACUAUCCGGACCUGUAUAUUGGCCACGUUCAGCACCCCAGUAGAAACUAGUGCUGUCUGAAAAUGUGGCACGAACCGAGCAUAUUUGAAGAGCAAUUGCAGAGGCAAAGACAGCUAUGAGGAUUGCUCUAAGGUACUUUCAUUAUGUAUGCACGACGAUGCUGUACGAUGUUGUGCAGAUUGUACUUGUGAGUUCUAGUUAUGUCGACGUUCUUUUGUAAAUCAUAUUUCAAGGUUUGCAAAUCAUAAUGACUAUCAUAACCUUAGUGGAGCGCUUCUGCCUAGGGUGGAAGGGGGAUUUCCGCGGUGGCAGACGAUCUCUUUUUAUCAGACGGUCUCUUACAGAGUUACAGCUCCAUGAGCCCAAGAGCUGAAUCCAGGAAGCAGCGCUUGGAACACCGAGAUAGUUAACGAAUACUAGGUAGUGACCAGGAGGUGCGAGCUCACCACCAGGAGGAGCUUGCACCUGUAACUGAUAGUUGCCCAAUGGUAGAACAACAAAUCCGGUAAUUUUCAAAAUUAGAAGCCUCUGGUUCAUGGAGUAGCCAUGGGUGGUAAAAGGUGGUUUGUACAUAGUAACCAUGACAUCGGUUUGUGGGAUUGGCACGGGAGAAAGGAUGUUACAUGUUAUCUGAAUAGCUUGUCCAUAACCAAUGACAUUGUUUUGCACCUUAACCAUUUUAGGACUGAAUGCCUCAAGGGCCGGGUCAAGGUAAGGAGGAUCAAACUUCUCAACGCGAAGUUCAGUUGGGAAUUUGACAUUCUUGUAUAGGUAUCCAGGGUUGGUGUUACUUCCAGCAACGAGAAUUUUUCCAUCUGGGAGGACUGCGGAUGUUGAGUGGUACAUCCGAGGGAUCUGGCUUGCUGCCAAAACCUUAAACCGUUGACCAGCUGGCUUAUUGGGGCUGUAUAAAAACGGGGUUAAAAUAGGGUCAUCGGCAAACUGCCAACCAGAAGCACCCUUCUGAGCUCCAUUAAGGAUGAGAAUUUCACCAUUUGGAAGGUUUAACAUGUCACUCAUAACACGAGGUGCUGGCAUUGUUUCGACUUCCCAGUUAGCAGCAGGGUCUAGAACUUUAAUCCUUCCACAGGUAUCCAAUGCUGGAAGGAAGAUUCCCUCUUUUUCAGCCUUACCAAAGGCCAAUGGUUGUCCACCACCACAAACAAGUACCUCAAUGUCAACCUUGUCACCAUUCUGUAGAUUUAUUGGGAGGAUAGCUGUGGUAGCAGAGCCUGGGUAGUUUCGAGCUCCACCAGGCAAGUCUGGGUAGGUUCGGACAAUCUUAUUGGUUCUUACAUCAAGGAGAAUAGACCUGAAGUUGGCUAAGAUGAAGAGGUUUCCAUCUGGAGCAAGAUGAAUAAAGGGGUAUAGGUUGUUCUCGUGUAUAUCAGUUGUAUCUAAAAGGAAAGGAAGAUCAAUUUUUCCAGGGCUAGGUUUGUCUUCUGGAGCAAUGAAUUCGUAGUUGAAGGCACGUCUUCCUCCAAGUACUAUAUACCGUCCAUCAGCUAGCAUUGUCUGGGUACCAUACCACCUGAUGUCUGACAACAGAACGGGGGAUUCCUUCCAAUCGCAUGUGUCACAGGAGCUGUAGUAUCGUUGGAUUCUCUCUCCAUCUUUCCACCCACCCGUGUUUAGUAGGGCACCAUCAGGUGUCAGCCCACCACUUGAGCACCAUGGAUCGGUCAGGACCUGGAAAAUUAAAAAAAAACCUCAUCAUUUCUAUGCUGUAUUGCAUGCAAGAAAGGUAAUGAAAGUAGAAUAAUACCUUGAGUGUUCUGACAUUGUUGGUUGCAGGAUCAUAUUCGACAGCGUGUGAGAAACAAUCGAACUGAUCUGUUGUGUUUGGAAUAAGGCGACAAUUAGCAGGAGGAAGUUCAAUGUUUGAUCUUCCCAAAGAAGUGGCAUCAAACAUAACAAGUUUGUUGGUAGGCAUAAGCUGCAUAUGCAUAGAUGAAACUCCAGAGUUUUCAGAAACUACAACCCACUUCCCCGGGUAAUUCGUCUCUUUAAUCACCCCUGGUUGUGCCUGUGCCUGUGCCUGUGCCUGUGCCUGUGGUAAUGGCAAAUUAUCAUUUGUAGGUUUGGUUUCUUGUUGUUUACCACCACCAAAAUUAACACCUGGAACAAGGCGCCCAAAUAUAUCGCGAAAUUGUGGAAGACCAUAAAUACGUGGUGGCGUUCCUCCUUCCUCCUCUGCAUCGGGUUUGUGUCCUAGGUAAUGCCCACCAGGUAGUCCCUUAAUAAAAUCGGCUGAGCUAGACACAAACAGGAGACAAAAUAUACAUAAAAACUUGAUGAUCAAGCUAGACAUUUUUAUUGAUUUACUAUAAUAUGAUCUAUAAAAUGAUUAUUAGAAAUAUUAUUCUAUGUUUUGAUAAUGAUACAUAUAAACUAAGCUAAUUACGGAAAAAACAUGGGUUAAUUUUCUUUGA